CGUACGCAAAUUCUUUGACCCUCGAACUUCCUUCUCUUUGUUCUCCCUUGAUCCUUGUGAAAAAGGUUGGAGUAAAUAGACCACAUUCGGGAGGUGCUGGCCAAAGGCCCUACGAUACCUAAGUCAGUUACAUGAUCUUCAGGAAGAUACAAAAUAAAUAGAGAAGGUCAGAGUUUUCUCUAUGGUACGAGAGAACCGGGUAGUCGGAUCCGUGUGUGGUGGUGGCCGGAGCCGUGAGAGAGAGAUAUGAGAGAGUGGCGUGAAAGAGGGGGAAUUUGCGAGUAAAAUUAGAUUACAUCAUAUGUGUGAUGUAGCCAUGUAUUUAUAGUGCUCCUUGUUAGAUAGGGUUUGAAGAAUAAUCCUUACUUAAUUAGGAUUAUUCUUACCCAAAAAUAGGAGAUUGGAAUUAAUCAAGGAGAUUCGGUGGAAAACUCAUCCUUGAUUUAGGGAGAUAUUCCCAUCUCAAAUCAAGUAUAAUUUCCCUAAUUAAAUAAUUGACAUAGGGAAUUUCCCUUUUCCACGUGUCACCCGCUCAUUGGUCGUCGAAAUAUAUGCUCCCACAAAUGCCCCCAACUUCUGUAUGGCACAUAUGUGGCAAGGAGGAG
Molecule: long non-coding RNA, 605 nt
Filed under: Prunus persica (peach)
Lineage: Eukaryota; Viridiplantae; Streptophyta; Magnoliopsida; Rosales; Rosaceae
Description: long non-coding RNA (PPER_LNC000980)
Source: RNAcentral